Molecule: ribosomal RNA, 473 nt
Filed under: uncultured bacterium
Lineage: Bacteria
Description: bacterial SSU rRNA
Rfam family: Bacterial small subunit ribosomal RNA
Source: RNAcentral
CGGCAGGCCUAACACAUGCAAGUCGAGCGCAGCGGCGGGGGCAACCCUGGCGGCGAGCGGCGGACGGGUGAGGAAUGCAUCGGAAUCUACCUCGUUGUGGGGGAUAACCUCGGGAAACCGGGACUAAUACCGCAUACGACCUACGGGUGAAAGUGGGGGGACCUUCGGGCCUCACGCGAUGAGAUGAGCCGAUGCCGGAUUAGCUAGUUGGCGGGGUAAAGGCCCACCAAGGCGACGAUCCGUAGCUGGUCUGAGAGGAUGAUCAGCCACACUGGAACUGAGACACGGUCCAGACUCCUACGGGAGGCAGCAGUGGGGAAUAUUGGACAAUGGGGGCAACCCUGAUCCAGCCAUGCCGCGUGUGUGAAGAAGGCCUUCGGGUUGUAAAGCACUUUUGUUGGGGAAGAAACCGGCCGGGUUAAUACCCUGGUUGAAUGACGGUACCCAAAGAAUAAGCACCGGCUAACUUCGUG